RNAcentral lists this ribosomal RNA (160 nucleotides) under uncultured bacterium. RNAcentral describes it as "partial 16S ribosomal RNA". It matches the Rfam family "Bacterial small subunit ribosomal RNA", at positions 355 to 507 of the family's 1533-position model. The record is from RNAcentral.
UGGGGAAUUUUGGACAAUGGGCGAAAGCCUGAUCCAGCAAUGCCGCGUGUGUGAAGAAGGCCUUCGGGUUGUAAAGCACUUUUGUCCGGAAAGAAAUCCUUGGCUCUAAUACAGUCGGGGGAUGACGGUACCGGAAGAAUAAGCACCGGCUAACUCUGUG